This 292-nucleotide ribosomal RNA is filed under the name uncultured bacterium. RNAcentral's name for it is "partial 16S ribosomal RNA". The record is from RNAcentral.
GGACUACUGGGGUAUCUAAUCCUGUUCGCUCCCCCAGCUUUCGCGCCUCAGCGUCAGAUGCCAGCCAGGACACUGCCUUCGCCUUUGGUAUUCCUCCGGAUAUCUACGCAUUUCACCACUCCACCCGGAAUUCUAUGUCCCUCUCUGGCCCUCAAGUCCAGCCGUUUUCGGCAGCCUUUCCCAGUUAAGCCGGGAACUGUCACGCCAAACGUACUGCACCGCCUGCACGCCCUUUACGCCCAGUAACUCCGGACAACGCUCGCCCCCUACGUAUUACCGCGGCUGCUGGCAC